GACUGAUAGCUCAGUUGGUUGGAGCGUGGUGCUGAUAAUGCCAAGGUUGCAGGUUCGAUCUCCAUAUGGGACA
Molecule: non-coding RNA, 73 nt
Organism: Podarcis lilfordi (Lilford's wall lizard)
Lineage: Eukaryota; Metazoa; Chordata; Lepidosauria; Squamata; Lacertidae
Source: the annotation of a GenBank genome assembly